RNAcentral lists this ribosomal RNA (253 nucleotides) under uncultured bacterium. Its description in RNAcentral is "partial 16S ribosomal RNA". It matches the Rfam family "Bacterial small subunit ribosomal RNA", at positions 524 to 776 of the family's 1533-position model. The record is from RNAcentral.
UACGGGGGGGGCAAGCGUUGUUCGGAAUUACUGGGCGUAAAGGGCUCGUAGGCGGCCAACUAAGUCAGAUGUGAAAUCCCCAGGCUUAACCUGGGAACUGCAUCUGAUACUGGAUGGCUUGAAUCCGGGAGAGGGAUGCAGAAUUCCAGGUGUAGCGGUGAAAUGCGUAGAUAUCUGGAGGAAUACCGGUGGCGAAGGCGGCAUCCUGGACCGGCAUUGACGCUGAGGAGCGAAAGCCAGGGGAGCAAACGGG